This 377-nucleotide ribosomal RNA is filed under the name uncultured cyanobacterium. Its description in RNAcentral is "bacterial SSU rRNA". It matches the Rfam family "Bacterial small subunit ribosomal RNA", at positions 354 to 746 of the family's 1533-position model. The record is from RNAcentral. Lineage: Bacteria; Bacillati; Cyanobacteriota.
UGGGGGAAUUUUCCGCAAUGGGCGCAAGCCUGACGGAGCAAGACCGCGUGCGGGAGGACGGCCUAUUGGUUGUAAACCGCUUUUGAUAGGGAAGAAGUUCUGACGGUACCUAUCGAAUCAGCAUCGGCUAACUCCGUGCCAGCAGCCGCGGUAAUACGGAGGAUGCAAGCGUUAUCCGGAAUUAUUGGGCGUAAAGCGUCCGUAGGUGGUUGUUCAAGUCUGCUGUUAAAGCGUGCGGCUUAACCGCAUACCAGCAGUGGAAACUGGGCGACUAGAGUGCGGUAGGGGUCAGGGGAAUUCCCAGUGUAGCGGUGAAAUGCGUAGAUAUUGGGAAGAACACCGGUGGCGAAAGCGCCUGACUGGACCUGCACUGACAC